GCUUGUUGCUGGAACUGUUGUCGCUGUAUAGCUGCCCAAGCCCAAUCUCAGUCUCAAUCUCAAUUCCAAGACGGAGGCAGGUAUUUUUCUCCGGGUUUUUUGUCUCUCUGUUGUUGUUAUAAGUUUUAUUAUUAUUCUCUUCAGUUCGAAUAUUUCAAAUCACGUAGAAAGGUGUGUUUUUUUUUGUUGAUGUUGUUAGUUCUGGAAAAUCGCAUGCAACACAGGUGAGCUGCUCAGCUCAUAUACUAGGUAGGAGCCAUAGAGUGUUGACAUGUCUAUACGCCGCCGGCCGCCGCCGCUCCGCCGGACUAUACAGAGUUGGACCUCAACUUGAAGAAAGAAUUAAAAAUCAUGACAACGAUGACGACUGACGACGAAGACGACAAGUCGAAAAUGACAACGCAUGAGGUGCGGGAGGAGAUGACAACAAUACUGAUGCAGUCGUAUAUAGAUACAUUUGUAUCUAUGUUUUUCAAAUCAAGUUUCUGAUGAGGUUGACGACGACGACAGCCUACCGAGCAAAGACGACGACGACGACGACUUUUGUUAAAUUGUUUUGUCUUUUAAUUUGUCAAUGAAUUUACAAAUUAACAGUUGUUGGUUUUUAUUUAAGUUUUUUUUUUAUUUUGUUUGUUGUUAUUAAAACAACUUAAGUUUUUAAUAAGAGAAGAAAAACAAGCAGGUGAUGUGAUGAGGAAAAGGCAAGAUUUUCAAGGAAAAGUUGUUUACUAUUAUGUGCGUUUUUAUAAAUAUUUGUUUUUCUUGGUUUUUAUUGUUGUUUGACUAAUGUGGCGAUUAAUUAUUGCAUUAAAAAGAUUGAGAGAGAAAGAGAGAUUUGAAAGUAGUAUUAAAUAAAUUGUUGUUUUUAAUA
Eupeodes corollae is the source of this 871-nucleotide long non-coding RNA. RefSeq lists it as uncharacterized. The record is from RefSeq and is a predicted model, not a curated record. Lineage: Eukaryota; Metazoa; Arthropoda; Insecta; Diptera; Syrphidae. The transcript is spliced from 3 exons.